UAAAAGAAGAGGAGAAGAAAUAGAAUUUAUAUUAUUUUUUUAUAUAUAACAAACAAGAGAGUUAUUUAAUUUAUCAUUAUAGUAGAGCAUGGAGUACAAGAUAAUAUUGUAUAGCAUAAGACUAAAAGCUAGUGUGAAAGUGCAUGCAUGAUGCAUGCAUGUAGUGAUGGUAACCCAACCGGAACAAUAAACAAACAAGUAAUAAUGCAUGCAUACGUAAAACAUGAUAAAGAUAUAUAUAUAUAUCCAAGUACACACCAUCAGAGAGCAAUGGUGAAGUAAAGGGGUUCAUGUAUUCAGGGUGCGGAGGUUGAAGAAGUUGAAGCCCAAGGUGGUGGUGGCAUAAAGAAGGGUAUGCCGGGAAAGUUGGGGAAGCUGCUGGGUAGUGGCGGCAGAGAAACCUGUGGUGGAAAAUUUGGAAAGAAUGGUGGGAAUGAGAACGGGAAUGGGUAUGAUGGGUUCAUUAUUGGUGGUGCCGUUGUCUCCUGAAGCUGGCGAGCUGCCAUGCCAAUCUCCAUCAUUGAUAAGUAAAUAGCAAUGAAGAAUGCCAACAUCAUCAUGCAUCUCAUGGAAGCCAUUGUUGAUCACCACCAUGCACUUGAUCAGAGUACCUAGUAGCUCUCUU
Molecule: long non-coding RNA, 625 nt
Filed under: Arachis ipaensis
Lineage: Eukaryota; Viridiplantae; Streptophyta; Magnoliopsida; Fabales; Fabaceae
Description: long non-coding RNA (AIPA_LNC000745)
Source: RNAcentral